Molecule: long non-coding RNA, 462 nt
Filed under: Malus domestica (apple)
Lineage: Eukaryota; Viridiplantae; Streptophyta; Magnoliopsida; Rosales; Rosaceae
Description: long non-coding RNA (MDOM_LNC005996)
Source: RNAcentral
AAUCUAAUUGAUUGUCUCUAUAGUAGAGAUGAUAUGGUAGUGUUAACUGUUUAGAAUAUAAAAUACGAGUUGGUCAUAGAUGGAUGCUUUGGAUCGUUAGAUCCAUAUCCAAUACCUUCUUAUUAAAAUUGUAUAGAGGCGAAAUGUUCGAAUCUUUAUUCUUUUGGAAAGAAGAAAGAAUCACAAAGUUGUUGAGAUUAAUUCACUUAGAUGUUAGUGGCACUUGUCCACAACAUAAUACUACUCAUGUUGUAUGACAUUCACCGAAGAUCACUCUCGGUUGGACUAUAGUUUAUUUUGAAUAAACACAAGUCCGAAUACUUAGCAAAAGGUUUCAAAGAAUUCAAGAAAUGUAAGUUGAUGAGUAAGACGUCUAAAGUAUUUGCCUACUUAGAUUUGAUCCAAGGAAAGAUAACACUUUAGAACAGUUUCCUUGAAAAAUAUCAAGGAAAGAAGCAUCAA